AGAAUUCACUCGCCUAAAGGUUAUGGCAAAACCUUAGAGUAUCAAGGAAACUCUUAAGAACCUCUCUAAGCUUUAAGGUUACUUCGCUUAGGAACCAGUCUUUUACGGGUAGACUCACACCUUAGAGUAUCAAUGACACUCUUAAGAACCUCUAACUUUUGCGGGUAAGUUAGUACCUUAGAGUAUCAAGGAACUCUUAAAAAUCUCUCUAAGCUUUAAGGCUACUUCGCUUAGGAACCAGUCUUUUACGGGUAGACUCACACCUUAGAGUAUCAAGGGCACUCUUAAGAACCUCUAACUUUUACGGGUAAGUUAGUACCUUAGAGUAUCAAGGAACUCUUAAAAACCUCUGAAAUCUUUCAAGGUAGACUCGACCUAAGAGUUUUCCCGGAAACUCUAUAAAACCAAACUAGAGCUUUAUGGUUGAGCUCAAAAACCUUCUCUCACACUUUGGUACUAUUGAGACAACCCUCUCAACCAAAGUGGACACACACAAGAGGUGAUUAGAGGAGUGGAAUAUUAAAGCAAACAACACUUCUUACUUGUAAAGAUGAACAAGAAGAUUAGAAGAAGAAGUUGGAGAGCUUUUGAAGCUUUGGAAGCUAGGACACUUGAGCACUUGAAAGCUUGGAAGCUUGGAGGCAAAAACGUGUGGGCAAGUGUGGAGUGAAAGCUCUUAAG
RNAcentral lists this long non-coding RNA (681 nucleotides) under Zostera marina. RNAcentral describes it as "long non-coding RNA (ZMAR_LNC000706)". Lineage: Eukaryota; Viridiplantae; Streptophyta; Magnoliopsida; Alismatales; Zosteraceae. The record is from RNAcentral.